AUGAACGCUGGCGGCGCGCCUAACACAUGCAAGUCGAACGAUUAAAGCACCUUCGGGUGUGUAUAAAGUGGCGAACGGCUGAGUAACACGUGGGCAACCUGCCCCUUUCAUUGGGAUAGCCACGGGAAACCGUGGAUAAUACCGAAUACUUCGAGACUUCCGCAUGGAAGACUCGAGAAAGCUCCGGCGGAGAGGGAUGGGCCCGCGGCCUGUUAGCUUGUUGGUGGGGUAACGGCCUACCAAGGCAAUGAUGGGUAGCUGGGUUGAGAGACCGACCAGCCAGAUUGGGACUGAGACACGGCCCAGACUCCUACGGGAGGCAGCAGUGGGGAAUCUUGCACAAUGGGCGAAAGCCUGAUGCAGCGACGCCGCGUGCGGGAUGAAGGCCUUCGGGUUGUAAACCGCUUUCAGCAGGGACGAGGCGAAAGUGACGGUACCUGCAGAAGAAGCCCCGGCUAACUACGUG
RNAcentral lists this ribosomal RNA (466 nucleotides) under uncultured bacterium. RNAcentral describes it as "partial 16S ribosomal RNA". It matches the Rfam family "Bacterial small subunit ribosomal RNA", at positions 29 to 507 of the family's 1533-position model. The record is from RNAcentral.